GUAAGGGUUGCGUUGUUUGUGUGUGUGUGUCUGUGUGUGUAAUGCAUUGUGUGUUUUUCUGUGUGCAAGGGGUGCAUUGCAUGUGUGUGUGAUGGAUGUCAAUCUCUCCCCCCCUCCCUUGUCACUCUCUUCUCCCCCCUCUCCCUCCCUUGUCACUCUCUUCUCCCCCCUCUCCCUUGUCACUCUCUUCUCUUCUCCCCUCC
Molecule: non-coding RNA, 203 nt
Organism: Pelobates cultripes (western spadefoot toad)
Lineage: Eukaryota; Metazoa; Chordata; Amphibia; Anura; Pelobatidae
Source: the annotation of a GenBank genome assembly